Molecule: ribosomal RNA, 433 nt
Filed under: uncultured bacterium
Lineage: Bacteria
Description: bacterial SSU rRNA
Rfam family: Bacterial small subunit ribosomal RNA
Source: RNAcentral
GACGAACGCUGGCGGCGCGCCUAACACAUGCAAGUCGAACGAGAGAGAGGGAGCUUGCUUCCUCGAUCGAGUGGCGAACGGGUGAGUAACGCGUGAGGAACCUGCCUCAAAGAGGGGGACAACAGUUGGAAACGACUGCUAAUACCGCAUAAGCCCACGGCUCGGCAUCGAGCAGAGGGAAAAGGAGCAAUCCGCUUUGAGAUGGCCUCGCGUCCGAUUAGCUAGUUGGUGAGGUAAUGGCCCACCAAGGCGACGAUCGGUAGCCGGACUGAGAGGUUGAACGGCCACAUUGGGACUGAGACACGGCCCAGACUCCUACGGGAGGCAGCAGUGGGGAAUAUUGCACAAUGGGGGAAACCCUGAUGCAGCGACGCCGCGUGGAGGAAGAAGGUCUUCGGAUUGUAAACUCCUGUUGUUGAGGAAGAUAAUGACG